AUACGGAGGAUCCGAGCGUUAUCCGGAUUUAUUGGGUUUAAAGGGAGCGUAGGUGGAUUGUUAAGUCAGUUGUGAAAGUUUGCGGCUCAACCGUAAAAUUGCAGUUGAAACUGGGAGUCUUGAGUACAGUAGAGGUGGGCGGAAUUCGUGGUGUAGCGGUGAAAUGCUUAGAUAUCACGAAGAACUCCGAUUGCGAAGGCAGCUCACUAGACUGUUACUGACACUGAUGCUCGAAAGUGUGGGUAUCAAACAGGAUUAGAUACCCUGGUAGUCCACACAGUAAACGAUGAAUACUCGCUGUUUGCGAUAUACAGUAAGCGGCCAAGCGAAAGCAUUAAGUAUUCCACCUGGGGAGUACGCCGGCAACGGUGAAACUCAAAUGAAUUGGCGGGG
RNAcentral lists this ribosomal RNA (393 nucleotides) under uncultured bacterium. Its description in RNAcentral is "partial 16S ribosomal RNA". It matches the Rfam family "Bacterial small subunit ribosomal RNA", at positions 523 to 918 of the family's 1533-position model. The record is from RNAcentral.